RNAcentral lists this ribosomal RNA (450 nucleotides) under uncultured bacterium. RNAcentral's name for it is "bacterial SSU rRNA". It matches the Rfam family "Bacterial small subunit ribosomal RNA", at positions 355 to 796 of the family's 1533-position model. The record is from RNAcentral.
UGGGGAAUAUUGGACAAUGGGCGAAAGCCUGAUCCAGCGACGCCGCGUGGGUGAUGAAGGCCUUCGGGUUGUAAAGCCCUGUGGGCAGGGAAGAAAACGUUGCAGUCGAAUAGGCUGCGACCUUGACGGUACCUGCUCAGAAAGCACCGGCUAACUCUGUGCCAGCAGCCGCGGUAAGACAGAGGGUGCAAACGUUGCUCGGAAUUACUGGGCGUAAAGCGCGUGUAGGCGGAUCGGCAUGUCGGGUGUGAAAUCCCCAGGCUCAACCUGGGAACUGCAUUCGAAACUACCGGCCUUGAGUGGUGGAGAGGGAAGUGGAAUUCCUGGUGUAGAGGUGAAAUUCGUAGAUAUCAGGAGGAACACCAGUGGCGAAGGCGGCUUCCUGGACACCAACUGACGCUGAGACGCGAAAGCGUGGGGAGCAAACAGGAUUAGAUACCCCCGUAGUCC